This 758-nucleotide ribosomal RNA is filed under the name uncultured archaeon. RNAcentral's name for it is "bacterial SSU rRNA". It matches the Rfam family "Archaeal small subunit ribosomal RNA", at positions 53 to 816 of the family's 1478-position model. The record is from RNAcentral.
GCGAGUCGAAUGUAGCAAUACAUGGCGUACUGCUCAGUAACACGUGGACAACCUACCCUCAGGUCGGGGAUAAACCCGGGGAACUGGGUAUAAUACCCGAUAGAUCUCGGCUGCUGGAAUGCAUCGAGAUCUAAAGCUCCGGCGCCUGAGGAUGGGUCUGCGGCCUAUCAGGUAGUAGUGGGUGUAGCGUACCUACUAGCCUACGACGGGUACGGGUUGUGAGAGCAAGAGCCCGGAGAUGGAUUCUGAGACACGAAUCCAGGCCCUACGGGGUGCAGCAGGCGCGAAAACUUUACAAUGCCGGCAACGGCGAUAAGGGGACCUCGAGUGCCAGGUUACAAAUCUGGCUGUCGUGAUGCCUAAAAAGCAUUGCAUAGCAAGGGCCGGGCAAGACCGGUGCCAGCCGCCGCGGUAACACCGGCGGCUCGAGUGGUAACCGUUAUUAUUGGGUCUAAAGGGUCUGUAGCCGGCCGGAUAAGUCUCUUGGGAAAUCCAGCAGCUUAACUGUUGGGCUUUCAGGAGAUACUGUCUGGCUCGAGGCCGGGAGAGGUGAGAGGUACUUCAGGGGUAGGGGUGAAAUCUUGUAAUCCUUGAAGGACCACCAGUGGCGAAGGCGUCUCACCAGAACGGACCUGACGGCAAGGGACGAAAGCUAGGGGCACGAACCGGAUUAGGUACCCGGGUAGUCCUAGCCGUAAACGAUACUCGCUAGGUGUCGGCCACGGUGCGACCGUUGUCGGUGCCGUAGGGAAGCCGUG